This 118-nucleotide transfer RNA is filed under the name Nitrososphaerota archaeon. Its description in RNAcentral is "Thaumarchaeota archaeon tRNA-Arg". It matches the Rfam family "tRNA". Rfam says of the family: Transfer RNA (tRNA) molecules are approximately 80 nucleotides in length. The record is from RNAcentral. Lineage: Archaea; Thermoproteati; Nitrososphaerota.
GGGCCCGUAGCCUAGACAUCCGUUGGGGAAAUCAAGGUGUUUGCGAACACACCUCUAACACGGAUAAGGCGUCAGCCUUCGGAGCUGAAGAUCGCGGGUUCAAAUCCUGCCGGGCCCG